UACGAGAGGCCCAAACGUUAUUCGGAUUUACUGGGCUUAAAGAGUUCGUAGGCGGUUCGGUAAGUGAGGUGUGAAAUCCCUUGGCUCAACCAAGGAAUUGCGCUUCAAACUGCCGGGCUCGAGGGAGAUAGAGGUGAGCAGAACUGAUGGUGGAGCGGUGAAAUGCGUUGAUAUCAUCAGGAAUACCAGAGGCGAAGGCGGCUCACUGGGUCUCUUCUGACGCUGAGGAACGAAAGCUAGGGGAGCAAACGGG
RNAcentral lists this ribosomal RNA (253 nucleotides) under uncultured bacterium. RNAcentral describes it as "partial 16S ribosomal RNA". It matches the Rfam family "Bacterial small subunit ribosomal RNA", at positions 524 to 776 of the family's 1533-position model. The record is from RNAcentral.